UCGGGCGGUUCGCAAACGGUUCCGAUUCCAGAUCCGGUUCCAAGCGGUUCGGGACCGAUUCGGUUCCGGGUAACCCGCCCCGUGGCCAACUGGCCAUGCCUACCCUUUAUUGAGUAAAAAAAAGUAUCUAUUCAAAAUCUAAUGAACAGUUGCCUUUUAUUUACUGCCACGUGGAAUUGGAAACCGCUAAGAUUGCUCCACGAAGCUGCUUUCAACUAUUCACUUCAUCAUCCUUUCACUCUUUCAGUUUCAACUUAACCUCCUCAUUAUUGUAUUCCAGUUCCACGAUAUGCUUCUGUUGAUUUUGAUCAAUUGCUUCCUUCAUAGAGGUGUCUCCCUCUUCUCUAAUCUUGAUCAAUUGCGCUUUUGAAUCUCGAUCCAUUCUUGAACAUUCAUAAGUUACUGGACAAAGCAAGAAGCAGAGCUCAAGAAAACGCUCUCACCAUUGAAUAUAAAGUCAAUGCUACCUCAAUGAUCUCAGCGCCUGAGAAGGAAUUAGAACAAGCUUGAACGCGUAUUGAGGGGUUGGAAACCGAAAGACGAUCCUCAAAGAAGAAGAUUGAGCACUUGAAGAAACUCGGUAUCCCGCUCUUGCAUCUGUUCUUCGUGCAAUUGAAGCCCUUUCUAUGAUGUAUGAUUAUUCGGAAGGAAUGUGUUCAAAUAAGGAAGUUCUUCAGAUGGCUAUGGAGCUAAUCAAAAUACCUGAAAAGCUGGAGGUGAACAUUGAAAUUUUCUGUAAAUGAUUGGAAACAAGUUCCCUGGAUGCUUUUACUAUUUGGCACUGAAUCUCUUAGAGGUAGAGAUCCUUCUAUAAAGGUUCAAUCAAGUGGAAAAUUUAGUUUAUUUGAAGUCUUGCAUUUUUGUGAAAAGUUAGUUGCAUUUGUCUUCAUUUUGGUUUGGUUUGGAUUAAACUUGAUGUUUAUUUGAAGUCUUGCAUUAUAGUUGAAGUCUUGUAUUUUUGUGAAAAAAGAAGCCCAGAUCGGGAAGCAAUUAGGGUAUAAUGCUCUCUUACCCUUUUGGAUUAUUGUGGGUUAUGUAGACGAUCGAUUUUGUAGUUCAUAAGUUUCAUUUUAAUUUAUAUUCAAGCGAAGAUGUUCCAUCAAAGAUGAAGACACUAGAAGGCUAUGUUCGUUGAUUUUAAUUUUCUGUUGGGUUUGUUAUUUUCUCUUUUAUUUGUGCUUUUGGGUCAGUCUUCUUGUUGUUGAUUGCAACCCUGUUAGGUUUUUAUCACUUGGAGUAUACUGGUUGAGAAAUGGAUUGGACUUGAUUGAAUUAUGUUGGCUAUAUAAUGAUAUGAGUUAAUAAAAAGUGAUGCAUAUAUCAUACCUAAGAGUAUAACUUCAGCAAAAUUUUGAACCAGGAGUAGCUGAAAUUAAGAAAAGAGGCGAGGUUUUGGUUUUUUGUUUAGGUCUUGGUUUUUUCGUUGAGGUUUUGUUUUUUCGUCCUAUUCUUUUAUUUAUUUGUUUAUCUGUCUUCAAUCGGGUUCUUGAUUAUGGAGUUUGUUGUUCUAUCUUUCUUCUUAAUCCUUCUGAUUUUUGAAGAAAUUGCUGUUCUAUCAUCACUUGAUCUUGUUUCAAAAAUUGGCAGAGUACUAGAAGAAAUUAAUUUGGCUUUAUUGUUCUUAAAUUUCUUGUUAAUUGCUCAUGCGUGCCAUUGGAAAUGCUACAAUUAACUUUUGUAUGUGAGAGCUUUUGGGGUCAAUUGUAGCAAUUUCUAUCAUCCGUCCAUCGGGGUUAUUAAUGAAGUUGAUUAUAUUUGGUUAAGAUUAUGAUACAUAGUAAGGAUCAGAGGUUGAUGUAGAGUUUAGUGAUUGUGUCUACAAAGAACUUAAGAGGAGUUUACUAUUUAACUAUAUUCUGUGAACACUCCAAUCUUAUAUUUCUUGCAAUAGAUAUAAACCUUGCUAAGGAUUAUAGUACUCCCCACUCGUGAAGUUGAUUCCGUUGUAGUUUUAUGGCUAUAAAAACCAGCAUUGAUUUAUCUAUCCAGUUGACUAUAUUCUUUUUCCUUAUCCUCGUCAAAUGCUUGGUUUUCAAAUGCUGUAAACUUGUAAUUAAAUUGGACUUUUAAAGCUUGUUUUUAAAAUGCUUUUGUGUUCUUUGUUGAUAUCCUGGGAGAACUGUUUAUUCAGCUCAUGUCACUUAGAAACUUUAGGUUAUUGGAAAAGUAGGUUGAUGGAAACUUUAGAACUUCUUAUACCUGGCUUCCGAGAAGAAACUUAUAAGGGAGAAGUUUAUGAGGAUACGAGGAUAUGGAGGCUAUGAUAGAAACUGAAGCAAAAUGUAGAAAAAAUCAUAGUGAAGAUCUUAGGGAGCUGAGGUUGGAUGCCCCAAGGACAACAUUGAGGUUGCUGAAUGUAGAGUUGGGGUGACUCUUGCUAGAAAGAACAUAAAACGUCUCAACUGUAUUAUAUGAACAUUGCAAUCUUAUAGGCCUUUUUUAAAUUGUGAUAUUUCUUUUGUUGCAGUAGAACAGAUAAAGCAUGCUAAGAUGAUAGUAACCCUUCACUCAUAAAGUUGAUCCUAUUUAGUUCAAGUAUGUCAUUACUACUUAAAACAGUCCUAUUCCAUUUUGAGCCUAACUUCUGAAUAUGUAUGCUGCAUUGAUCAAUUAAAGGGUAGUGGUUAUUUGCGGAAUUGCUUUGCUUUACUAGGGGCAUGAUUCAUUCGUAAAUGCAGCACUAUUUGUCUGCUAUUUGGUUUGCUUUAACUGGUGUUAUCUACUAUUUGUCUGCUACUAUUUGGUUUAUGAUGCUAAUGACAAGCCUUUUGUUGACUAAGCAAGUUUGAAGCGAAGGUGAUGUUAGAAAAGCUCAGAAACAUAGUGGUUAUUUUGGAGGCUUAAAUGGAAAAUUCAAUGGAUGUCCCUCAUGUAUAUGCUUUCCUCUACAGCUUGAGAAGCUUCAAUCUAGGAAACGAAGUCAUUUGUAUUCAUGUUUAUAGAUCAAAAUUGCACUGUCGAGUACUAUACAACUCAACUCUAAUUGGUGCAACUAGUAGGGUCGGCAAAAGCUGACCCGACCUGCUAACCUGAUCUGAAACCAACUCGAAAUUUGCGGGUUUGGGUUUACAUUUUUGACCCAAUUAAUUAAAUGGGUCAACCCAACCUGAUCUGUUUAUUAAAUGGGCUAGAUUCAGGUUGAAUAUUUAAACCCGAAAAAAAUCUGUUUAACCUAUUUAUUAAAUGGGUCAGUCAGGCAGGUCGACCCAUAUUAUCUGAUAUUAACCCAUUAAUAUUUAACCUAAAACUCAUUCUCACAUAAAAAAAUAUAUUAAAAGAUUUUGUUGGGCCCAAGUAUAUAACUCGUUCUCACAAAUAAACCCUAAAAAUUUGUUGAAGCCAACGUGCGGCGCUUCUUCAGAAGCUCUUCUUGGCUUCUUGAGUUCUUAUGUGUCUGUUUUCUCUGCCUUCUUCACUCUUUUUAGUUCUUACUACCAUCAAUUCCUGAAUGCCAAAAGCCAAGGUAAGAAUUAGUUCCUUUUCUCAUUCUUUUAUUUUUGUAGUUUGAUUUUUCUAAUUUUUUUUGUGUUCGAUUUUUUUAGCGUUCGAUUUUUUCGAUUGUUUUUGUGUUCGAUUUUACUGUUCAUUGCUCUUACUGCUAUUUUCAUUGUUCUUACUUCUUACUGCCAUCUUUAAUUCUUCAUAAUGAUUUUUAGUUUGUGUUUGUCUUUUUUUGUGUUCGAUUUGUUCGAUGAGCUUUGUGGGUUGGUAAUGAAGAUUAAAGUUGAAGAACAAGAAGACAUAUCUUGCCCUAGUCCAAGUUCAAGUUUAAGUUUCGAUCAACAUGAAUUCAGCUCAAAAUAACUACGGACAGGGUUGUUGACUUUUUUAACCGUUUUGCAGUUACUAACUGCGAACGCCAUCGAACAUAAUAACAGCUGCAGGUCUCUCCUUUCCCAUUUCCCCAAAUUCAAAACCUUAACUUAUUAAAACUCGACAUUUCCCUUUCAAAAACCACUCUUGGACUACCUUCAAUCCAUCAAUUCUUACAUUCCUUUUUCAAUUUGGCACUUCAAAUUUAGUCUAGGAUACUCUAGCUUACGCAAAGGCAAAGCACUUCCUGUCGAAGAAAGCAAAGGAACAGUUGAAGAAGUUGCAGAUGAGGUGUGUCUUGAAUGGCUAGUUCAACAAAAAUAGAGCUAUGUAGUAUUAAUUAGUACCUUAUACUCAACAAAGAACCAGUUGAAGGUUUUAUUGCACCUAGGGGUGUCAAACAAAUCGAGUUGGAUCAUUUUCAGG
Long non-coding RNA from Amaranthus tricolor (Joseph's coat), 4239 nucleotides. RefSeq lists it as uncharacterized. NCBI's taxonomy places the organism in Eukaryota, Viridiplantae, Streptophyta, Magnoliopsida, Caryophyllales, Amaranthaceae. The transcript is spliced from 5 exons. The record is from RefSeq and is a predicted model, not a curated record.